CCUUGSAUAUUCUUCCUGGUCARCUKGGAUMUUCGGCGUAGUCAUGGUCAUAUGUUGGUCUAGCGASGGWCMUCCUUCGGGUGUGAGUACRGCGGCGAACGGGUGAGUAACACGUGGGCAACCUGCCCCASARACUGGGAUAACGUCCCGAAAGGGACGCUAAUACCGGWWGAUGCGCGACCUGCCAAGUGGGUCGCGCCAAAUGGUAGCGUAAGCUUCUACUCUGGGAUGGGCCCGCGCCGGAUUAGCUUGUUGGUGAGGUAACGGCUCACCAAGACCGCGAUGUCUAGGGGUUCUGAGAGGAUUCACCCCCACACUGGUACUGAGACACGGACCAGACUCCUACGGGAGGCAGCAGUAAGGAAUAUUGGUCAAUGGACGCAAGUCUGAACCAGCCAUGCCGCGUGCAGGAAGACGGCCCUAUGGGUUGUAAACUGCUUUUGUACGGGAAAAAACCUUCGGUCGUGAACCGGAGCUGAUGGUACCGUAAGAAUAAGCAUCGGCUAACUCCGUGCCAGCAGCCGCGGUAAUACGGAGGAUGCAAGCGUUAUCCGGAUUCAUUGGGUUUAAAGGGUGCGCAGGCGGAAUGAUAAGUCAGUGGUGAAAUCCUAGAGCUUAACUCUAGAACUGCCAUUGAUACUGUCAUUCUUGAGUACACUUGAAGUGGGCGGAAUGUGUCAUGUAGCGGUGAAAUGCUUAGAUAUGACAAGGAACACCGAUCGCGAAGGCAGCUCACUAAAGUGCAACUGACGCUCAGGCACGAAAGCGUGGGGAUCAAACAGGAUUAGAUACCCUGGUAGUCCACGCCGUAAACGAUGAUUACUCGAUGUUGGCGAUACACAGUCAGCGUCUAAGCGAAAGCAUUAAGUAAUCCACCUGGGGAGUACGGCCGCAAGGUUGAAACUCAAAGGAAUUGACGGGGCUCGCGCAGCGGAGGAGCAUGGUGGCUUAAUUCGAUGAUACGCGAGGAGCUUACUGGGCUAGAACGCUGAUGACGUCGGGAAACGGAUUUCUCUUCGGAGCAACAGCGAGUGCUGCAUGUGUCGUMGCUCGGCUGAGGKUCGUAGUCCAUACGAGCAACAUWCCUAGUUGCAUCAGUAUGCUGACUCUUAUGAAACUGCCCUACCYCAAGUAUUGUU
This 1139-nucleotide ribosomal RNA is filed under the name uncultured bacterium. RNAcentral describes it as "bacterial SSU rRNA". It matches the Rfam family "Bacterial small subunit ribosomal RNA", at positions 1 to 1169 of the family's 1533-position model. The record is from RNAcentral.